GUUCAUGGGAUUAAUUAGCUUGAAAGAAGGAAUUCUAGCAACAACAAAAAAUAGAAGAAGAGAUUUAAUAAUCUUGAUAGGAUAGAAUUAUGGUGAACUUAUGGUCACUAUAGUGGGAUACAAGUAAAAUUGUUUUAUUUCUUUAGCUUUUUAUUUUUAAUUACUUUAUAGAGAGAACUACCACCUUUUUUUGUCUCAUUUUGAUGAUAAAUCAAAAGCAAGAGAAAAGCAAAGAAG
This 237-nucleotide long non-coding RNA is filed under the name Panax ginseng (ginseng). RNAcentral's name for it is "long non-coding RNA (PGIN_LNC006420)". The record is from RNAcentral. Lineage: Eukaryota; Viridiplantae; Streptophyta; Magnoliopsida; Apiales; Araliaceae.